This 49-nucleotide transfer RNA is filed under the name Habronattus oregonensis. RNAcentral describes it as "tRNA-Asp". The record is from RNAcentral. Lineage: Eukaryota; Metazoa; Arthropoda; Arachnida; Araneae; Salticidae.
GAGAAUGUAGUUAAGUUAAUAUUAAUUUGUCAAGUUAAAGAUGAAAUAA